Molecule: transfer RNA, 72 nt
Filed under: Camelus dromedarius (Arabian camel)
Lineage: Eukaryota; Metazoa; Chordata; Mammalia; Artiodactyla; Camelidae
Also listed under: 1 other name
Rfam family: tRNA
About the family: Transfer RNA (tRNA) molecules are approximately 80 nucleotides in length. Their secondary structure includes four short double-helical elements and three loops (D, anti-codon, and T loops). Further hydrogen bonds mediate the characteristic L-shaped molecular structure. tRNAs have two regions of fundamental functional importance: the anti-codon, which is responsible for specific mRNA codon recognition, and the 3' end, to which the tRNAs corresponding amino acid is attached (by aminoacyl-tRNA synthetases). tRNAs cope with the degeneracy of the genetic code in two manners: having more than one tRNA (with a specific anti-codon) for a particular amino acid; and 'wobble' base-pairing, i.e. permitting non-standard base-pairing at the 3rd anti-codon position.
Source: Rfam by way of RNAcentral
AAAGGUAUACUCAGUGGUUAGAGUAUAUGCUUAGCAUGCACAAGGUCCUGGGUUCAAUCCCCAGUACCUCCA